Molecule: long non-coding RNA, 8287 nt
Filed under: Populus tremula
Lineage: Eukaryota; Viridiplantae; Streptophyta; Magnoliopsida; Malpighiales; Salicaceae
Description: long non-coding RNA (PTRE_LNC002723)
Source: RNAcentral
UUCAUUCGAAGCGCCUAAAAAAUAUUAAAGGCAGAUAGAUUCUGCUACUGCUAUCACAACAUUGAACAGCAAACAACAAUAGCCUGAGCUUGGUCUGGUCUGUAAUGAAACCUUAGAGACAGCCAAGGAAACACUCUCUCCUUCAUUAUCCAUCUCAAGUCUCACCUCCAUAUCCAAGAAACUCCUGGUUAAAGCUUCAAGUUUCAAACUUUACAGCCCUAUAAGAACAAGAACCACAUAAAAACCCAUUCUUUAUCUUCUUCUUCAUUCAUUUCUUGCACUUCUUUAUCAACAAAAGCCACAACAACAUCAACAUGUACUCCAACUUCAACUAAAACUAACAAACACUGGAUGAUUCUAAUCGAAAGUCCCCCAAAGGUAUCAAUUCAAAGCCAGAAAUCAUUGAUUACUACGUCAAGAUUCUAGAGAGAGUAAUAGGCAGGUCGGUUGGGGUUGUUUGUGUUUUUUAACGAUGACCCAUUUUGGUAUCUGUUUUUUUUUGGCCUCAAGUUUGUUGCUUUAUUGGUUUUGAACAGUGAGAAGGAUGCUCAAAUGUGUAUGUAUGAUUCUUCUUGUGACACUCGUUUUGGGUUUUGUUGCGAUAUUGAUGGAGAUGCUUCCCUUGAACUUGCCAGUAAGUUUCUUUCUCUUUUGGCUCCAAUGUAUUGAGAAUUAUGAUGCUAACGCAAAAAUCGUGGAUUUUGAGAGGUUUCCUGAUUGUUAUGGAUGUGUCUGUUGUAGGGUUGCCUGGGGUUAUAUCAGUUAGGCCUGAUCCGGAUUAUAAUUCCGCGGAAAAAGAUUAUAGUUUAGGUGUCAGGUUGAGUCCAUUAUCAAAUCCACAAAUUGGAAGCAAUUUGUUGUUUCCUGCAGGGAAUACAAAACAUUGGCUGGUUAAAAUUGAUAAGCCAGCAGUUGGAGUUGUUACAAAGGCACAAAUGGUUGAUUAUCAUGCUCAAAUACUAACCAAGGUCAUGGGAAAGUAGGUGUUAAUGUUUGAGAAAGAAUGCAAUCUACAUGCUGUUAUAUACCAUGAAAGUGAAAAUUUGAUUUCUUUUGCAGCGAGAAGGAUGCUCAAAUGUGUAUAUAUCACGUUUCAUGGCAAUCGAAUUUUGGGUUCUGUUGUGAACUUACGAGAAUGUGCACAGGAACUAGCUGGUUAGUUUGUUCCCUUUGAAUUGAAAUUUUGUUUGGCAUUUCGUGUUCUGUUUAAUGACAUACCCUUCUGUGUUUUUAGGUGUCCCUGGUGUUUUAUCUGUUCAGCCAGAUAAGAAUGUUGAGUCAGAAAACAAGGAUUAUGGAGGUUUGUUACUUUCUUUUUAGCACUAAGAUUGCUAGUGGUAUAUACGCAAUUGUCAGUUUUAUGAAACUAGCAUCUGGAUUUGCUGCUGGAUGUUGAGUUAUGAUACCGUUAUUUGAGUUUUCAGAAAAGCCCAUUGUCAAUAUUUUGCGUUUAAUGUGAUUGCAAAUUUAUUCCAUGGCAAAUGGUUCUUCUGUAAUGUUAACACGUAAUUGUCCAGGCGAUCACAUAAUCAAUUCAGCAGAUUCUUCAGAAGCAAGUCAGAUAACUCCUGUAAAAACAAGAAAGUUAACCGAGUGCCAAACUAGAUAGCUUAUUAUUCUUCACAGCCAGAUCAUGUACAUGUCCAAGCAUUUCUUGCACGUAUAACAUAUAUAAUAAACUAAUUGUCAAUGAAAUUAAAAACUUCCCUGGCAAAACUUUGUUCUCUUAUCCCUGUAACAUCUCAAAUCCGCGUACGACAUACCUCUGCACUCCUGUAAAUGAAGAUUGACCCAAAGGCCUAACUGUUGGUGGGAGAAACCACUGGUGGUGGCUCUGAAACACUCAGAGGGGAUAAAACACAAGGUUUUAUUACAAAAUAUGAAGCUUACAAUUAAUUAACACAAAAGCUUAAACACGCCCUCUCUCUCUCUUUCUCUUUCUAGUGUUUCUCUCAAUUCUCUCCACACAGAAUAACAUAAGCUGAGCACUCUAUUUAUACACGAAAUCAAAACAAGAAAAUUCAACCUUCAAGUGUGAAGGCGACUGGCGGUCGGUGGUGUGAAGGUGGUUGGCGGCUGCGGCUGGUCGGUGUGGGUGGUUGCCUUCCUUGACCUUCUGGAUUGAGUUUAAGUUUCAACAAAUCUCCCCUUUAAACUCAAUCGAGAGAUGUCAUGCCAAGCAUGAGCUUUAAUCUAAUAAAUACUUCUCCCUUUAAUGGCUUUGUGAAGAUGUCUGUAACUUGAUCAUUUAUUUUGCAGGAUAUCAGUUGGACUUCUUCAUUCUUCACAUGUUCUCGGAUAAAGUGAUGACGUGUAUCAAUGUGUUUGCUCCUUUCAUGAUACACUGGGUUCUUUGCCAAUGCGAUUGCUGAUCGAUUGUCAAUAUAAAUCUCCGUAGGAUUUUCUUGAGGAAAUCCCAAAAACUUCAGCAUAUUCCUUAACCAUAUUGAAUGGCAUACGACUGAGUUGGCAGCAACAUACUCAGCUUCACAGCUUGAUAAUGUUACAAUCGAUUGCUUCUUGGAUGACCAUGUGAAAGAUGUGUCUCCCAUGAAAAAAACAAACUCUGUUGUGCUUUUCCUUUCAUCCAAAUCUCUACCCCAAUCACUAUCCGAGUAGCCUACAAGAUUAAAGUCUUGACUUGAGGUAUAAAACAUACCUUCAUUCAUUGUGCCUUUGAUGUAGCGAAGAAUUCUCUUAGCUACAUUCAAGUGAGACUGGUCUGGUGUCUCCAUGUAUCUGCUGAUGAGUCCGACUCCGUAGAGUAUAUCCAGUCUGGUACAUGUCAAGUACCUUAAGCUUCCUACUAAGCUUUUGAAGUAAGUUGGAUCAACAUUUCCAACCUUACUCUUCCUCAAUUCCACUCCAUUCUCAACUGGAGUUGAUACCGGAUUGCAGCUUUCCAUCUUGAACCUUUCAAGAAUAUCUUUGGCGUAACCGCUUUGGGAUACAAAAAUCCCUUCUUCUUUCUGCGUUACUUCUAAGCCAAGAAAAUGUGACAUUAGACCAAUGUCAGUCAUUUCAAACUCCUGUACCAUGCUUCGUUUGAAGUCGUCAAACAUGGUAGGGUUGUUGCCGGUGAAUAUCAAAUCAUCAACAUACAGGCACGCAAAUAAGAUGCUGCCAUCUGCUCCUUUCUUCACAUAUUGCGUGUUCAUAUGGACAUUUUUCAAAUCCAUUAUCUUGAAAAUACCUGUCAAUUCUGGUAUUCCAAGCACGCGGAGCUUGCUUCAAACCAUAGAGAGCCUUCUUCAACUUGUAUACUUUGCCUUCAUUUUCAGCAUCAAUGUAUCCAAGUGGUUGUUCAACAUAGAUUCUUCUUCUAGGAAGCCAUUCAGAAAUGCUGACUUCACAUCGAGUUGAUAGAUCUUCCAUCUAUGUUGUGCAGCUAGUGAGAUCAUCAGUCUGAUUGUCUCUAGCCGGGCUACUGGAGCAAAUACUUCUCCAUAGUCAAUGCCUUCUCUCUGUUUGUAGCCUUUAGCCACUAAUCUGGCUUUGUAUCUUUGCACUUCUCCUUUGGCGUUCUUCUUCGUCUUGUAGACCCAUUUGACACCUAUUGCUUUCUUGUUUUCUGGUAGAUAAGUCAGCUUCCAGGUAUCAUUCUUCUCAAUGGCAUGUAUUUCUUCAUCCAUUGCUUCUAUCCAUUUCUCUUCUGUGACAGCUUCAUUGAAGCUUAAUGGGUCACUAUCUGCAAAGAAACAAAACAGAGUUGUAUCUUCCAUGACCUGAGUGGUAUCGUACAACUCUUCAAGAUUCCUCAUCCUUCUUGGUCCUUCUGAUGAGGAUGUUGAUGGUGGUGUUGAUGAUGAUGCUCCUGGUGUGUUCCUCCUGUUGAAUACAGGGAAUCUGUGUACCGGACUUUGUGGUUCAGCUGCUGGCACAAUCGGUUCUUCGACAAGUACUGUUGGUACUUCUUCACCUUCAAGGAUCAAAUCAUAUUGAUCCAUCUGACUGCUUCUUGAUCCAUUCCAUGCCCAAGAUUUAUCUUCUUCAAAGAUAACAUCUCUACUCGUAAUCACCUUCUUCGUGAUGGGAUUAUACAGCCUGUAUCCCAUCCUUCUUUCACCAUAUCCGACAAAGAUGCAUUUCUCGCUUUAUCAUCGAGCUUUCUCCUUCUUGCAUCUGGGAUCUUUGCAUAUGCCACACAACCAAAGACUCGUAGAUGAGUAACACUUGGUUUGUGACCACUCCAUGCUUCUUCUGGAGUGACUCCUUGCAAACUUCUGGUUGGGCAGCGAUUCAGAUACACUGCACAUGAUACAGCUUCAGCCCAGUAUUGCUUGGGCAACUUCUUUGCUUUGAGCAAACUUCUGCCAUGUCAAGAAUCGUGCGAUUCUUCCUUUCUGCUACACCGUUCAGCUGUGGUGUAUAAGCUGGUGUCGUCUGAUGUCUGAUGCCUUGUUGUGUACAAUAGGCUUCAAAGUCAUUUGCUGUAUAUUCUCCACCUUGAUCAGAUCUCACGGUUCUGAUCGUGUAACCAGUUUGCUUCUCCACAAUUGCUUUAAAAUCUUUAAAACAAUUGAAUACUUCUGACUUCCUCUUCAGAAAGUAUAUCCACGUCUUUCUACUAAAAUCAUCAGUAAAAGUGAGGAAGUACCUAUUUUGUCCAGUCGACAUAGGCGUAUUGGGCCACACACAUCUGUGUGUACUAACUCCAGUGGCCUCUUUGCUCUCCAGUUGACUUCUUUGGCAAAACUGGAUCUGUGAUGUUUGCUGAGGACACAACUCUCACAGACUUCAUCUGGAUGAUCAAUGUGAGGCAAACCUUUGACCAUCUUCUUGCUUGCUAGCAUCUUCUUGCUUGCUAGCAUCUUCAGACUUGUGAAAUUCAGAUGUCCAAGCCUCAGGUGCCAAAGCCAUUCUUCACUGUUGGUGAUGACACUCAAACACCUUGUUGCAUCAUACUGGAUGUUCAAAGGAAACAUCCUAUUCUUGGACAUUUUCACGUAGGCCAUUAAUCUCCCAUUGUUGUCUCUAAUUGUCAGAUGACAAUUCUUCGAGUAAAAACUAUAUCCUCUCUCCAAAAGUUGACCUAAGCUGAUCAGGUUCUGCUUUAUGGCUGGGACAUAAUACAUCGGCGAUGUAGCUGGAAUCGCCAUUCUUCAACUUGACUGGGAUGUUGCCUUUACCUUUGAAUGGAACCUUUGAGGUGUCUCCAAAAGUAACUAGACCUUGUAUGGUCUCAUCUAGAUCACCGAAUAAAUCUCGGUGGCCGCACAUGUGAUUGCUGGCUCCAGUAUCUAGAUACCAUAUAUUUUCCUGUUUCUCACCAAGUUCUUGUUGGACAAGAAAUGCAGCUUCUUCUCUAUCAUCCUUCGCUGCAUAGUUGGCUUGCUCACGUAUCUCCAACGGAGCUUUCCAUCGGCAUUCAGUGCUAUAGUGCCCAAAUUGAUUGCAGCUAUAACAUUUGAUAUUCUCUUGUCACGGUUAUUGUAACCGCCUCCUCUUCCUCUAGGAGUGAAUGCUUGUUGUCCUCGGCCUCCUCUGGUGGUGUUUCUACCACCUCUUCCUCUGAAGCUUGUAUUCCAAGAUCCUCUUCCUUGGAAUUCUGAAAUCCUCCUCUGGAUUGUUGACUUCCUGCUUGAGUGGUGUAGCCACUUGUUGAAGUCUCCCCUUGCUCAUAUCUGUCCUUGAAGACAGCUUUGCUUGUAAGGCAUGCUCAAUGGCCUUAUCUUCAUUUCGCUUUACAAUCUUCUGCUCAUGAGCUUGCAAAGAACUCAUAAGCUCAUCACUGUCAACUUGUCCACUUCCUUGGACUCUUCAAUUGCGACAACAACAAAAUCAAAUUUUGGAUCUAUGGAUCUCAAAAUUUUCUCAAUAAUUCGAGAUCUGAUGCUUCUCCAUUUCUCCUCAUCUGAUUGACUAUCACCAUAAUCCUUGUGUGAUAAUCAGAAAUAGAUUCUGAGGACUUCAUUGUAAUAAUUCGAAUUCUCCUCUCAAAGAUUGAAGACGAAUCUUCUUGAUUCUGUCAGCACCUUUGUAUUUCUGUUGGAGAGCCUCCCAUAUAUCAUGUGACGUUUCAGCGGAAGCUAUUAUCUCGAAUGUAUCUUCAUCAAGACCUUGAUAGAUGAUGGUCUUUGCUUUGUUGUCCUUCUUUCUGUUGACUUUAAGGGCUUGCUUCUGUGCCUCUUGUAAAGCAUCUUCUCUUUCUUUGGACUCUGGUUCAUCAUAACCAGUUUGUACAAUAUCAAACACUCUUGUGACCAAGAAAUGCCUUCAAUCUGAUGCACCAACUAUCAUAGUUGUCUUUGGUCAGCUUCGGGAUGAGUGUAUGUGUACCUUCUGUAAUCAUUUUGCUCUUUGAAUGACUAUAUCACCUUUUUGGGAGUCGAAUUUGGCCAAAUGGACACUGUAGAUCGAUCCGGAAUGGUCCAAAUAGUAGGGAAUCGGUCUGACUUUGUAGAACUCGGGUCAGAAAAUGGGUGAACCGGUCACAAACCAAUUCUGUACGGCGGGCGGUUCGCUGGGUUGAACCAGGAAUAUUCUAGGGAAUAUUCUCUCGGCGCGCUGGCGGCUGGGAAGUGGCUUGGCUCGGCGCGGAGUACGGCUCGGCUAGGACUUGGCGUAAUCAGCUCGGCGCGGCUCAAAUAUGGCGCGCGUGGACGGCACUCGUCGUCUACCUCUGGCGCGCGUGGAUGCGUGUGGGAUACAAUCAUCGGAUCUUCAGGAGGCGCGUGUGGAUCACCGCGGACUCCGAUCAGGCUGAUUUUUGCUGCAGUGAGUUCGUCUUGAUGAGCUCUACACUGUGGAAUGAUCAAAACUUGUUUUUGACAACUUUGAAAAUUCGGAUAUACCCUAAAACUCUUCUGUUUUCCGACGAACGGGGCUUUGAUACCAAUUGUUGGUGGGAGAAACCACUGGUGGUGGCUUUGAAACACUCAAAGGGGAUAAAACACGAGAUUUUAUUACAAAAUCUGAAGCUUACAAUUAAUUAACACAAAAGCUUAAACACGCCCUCUCUCUCUCUUUCUCUUUCUAGUGUUUCUCUCAAUUCUCUCCAUACAGAAUAACAAAAGCUGAGCACUCUAUUUAUACACGAAAUCAAAAUAAGAAAAUUCAACCUUCAAGUGUGAAGGCGGCUGGCGGCUGGCGGCUGCGGCUAGUCGGUGGGUGGUUGUCUUUCUUGACCUUCUGGAUUGAGUUUAAGUUUCAACACUAACUGUCCAUUGACAUGACUAGGAACUGAAAGUUUUGGACAUCUUUUUUUUUUUUUUAGCUUCAAUUGUCAAGACUUCCUCGUAUUAGAUUUCAAGCACUCAGUUUUUCUCAAAUCAUAAGAGUUUCAAUAAAAAUAUAUAUUUUUUAUUUUUUUAAAAUUAUUUUUGAUAUUAAUAUAUUAAAAUAAUUGGAUAAAUAAAAAUAAAAUUUCUUAAUUUUUUUUAAAUAUUUUAAAAACAGAAAAAAAACAGGGAAUUAAACUUGAGAAGAUAAUAUUGGUUAGGUUCAAUAGUAAAGUUUCGAACUCCAUGACUAUUCUUUCUAGGAACAAUUUAUUACUGUUAUAAUACCAUAGUUAUCAUUAUCAUUAUGGAUUACGGUAUCAUUAUCAUGAUGGAUUACGGUUUUACCUGAUGAACUCAUAAUGAUAUUAUUUUGUUUUUUAAAAUCAAAUGAUAUUAUUUUAAAUAGAAAAAAAAAACUACAAUGAUAUAAAUCAAAUGAUAUCAUUUUAUUUUUCAAAAUAAAAUGAUAUUAUUUUAGAAAUAUUUUUUUAAAAAAACUAAAAUGCAUCGCGGUGUUAUUUAUAUAUAUAAAAAAAAACGACAUGAAAUCAAUUUUCAAACUAGCUUAUAAUGAAAUCUGGCUUGAAUUAUGCUCUUGCUCGGUACAUUACCAGUCAGGUUUAAUAGCCAUUACUAAAACAAAUGACCUCUUCGAAGAGAAACCACUGGUCACUUUGCAAAUCAACUUCUCUCAUGUCUCACCCAUCAAGGCAGAAAGGCUCGUCGUUUGACAUGGUCAUUAACGACCAUCAUUCAUUCGAAGCGCCUAAAAAAUAUUAAAGGCAGAUAGAUUCUGCUACUGCUAUCACAACAUUGAACAGCAAACAACAAUAGCCUGAGCUUGGUCUGGUCUGUAAUGAAACCUUAGAGACAGCCAAGGAAACACUCUCUCCUUCAUUAUCCAUCUCAAGUCUCACCUCCAUAUCCAAGAAACUCCUGGUUAAAGCUUCAAGUUUCAAACUUUACAGCCCUAUAAAGAACAAGAACCACAUAAAAACCCAUUCUUUAUCUUCUUCUUCAUUCAUUUCUUGCACUUCUUUAUCAACAAAAGCCACAACAACAUC